RNAcentral lists this ribosomal RNA (833 nucleotides) under archaeon enrichment culture. Its description in RNAcentral is "bacterial SSU rRNA". It matches the Rfam family "Archaeal small subunit ribosomal RNA", at positions 20 to 859 of the family's 1478-position model. The record is from RNAcentral.
GCGGCUACUGCUAUCAGGUUUCGACUAAGCCAUGCGAGUCAAGGGGUCGUAAGACACCGGCGUACUGCUCAGUAACACGCGGACAAUCUACCCCCAGGUGGAGGAUAACCUCGGGAAACUGAGGCUAAUACCCCAUAGUUGUCAUGUGCUGGAACGCUUUGACGAUGAAAGAAUUUCGCCUGAGGAUGAGUCUGCGGCCUAUCAGGUAGUAUGUGGUGUAAAGGACCACAUAGCCUAAGACGGGUACGGGCCUUGAAAGAGGGAGCCCGGAGAUGGACUCUGAGACACUAGUCCAGGCCCUACGGGGCGCAGCAGGCGCGAAAACUGUGCAAUGCGCGCAAGCGCGACACGGGAAGCCUGAGUGCCUUAACUAUGUUAAGGCUUUUCUUGAUCCUAAAAAGCUCAAGGAAUAAGAGCUGGGUAAGACGGGUGCCAGCCGCCGCGGUAACACCCGCGGCUCGAGUGGUAGUCACUUUUAUUGAGCCUAAAGCGUUUGUAGCCGGAUUUGUAAAUCUCUAGGAAAAUACUUCUGCUUAACUGAAGAAAUUUUGGAGAGACUGCAAAUCUAGGGACCGGGUGAGGUUGAAUGUACUUCUGGGGUAGGGGUAAAAUCCUGUAAUCCUGGAAGGACGACCGGUGGCGAAGGCGUUCAACUAGAACGGAUCCGACGGUGAGGAACGAAGGCUAGGGGAGCAAACCGGAUUAGAUACCCGGGUAGUCCUAGCUGUAAACACUGCCCACUUGGUGUUGCAUCUCCGGUAAGGGGGUGCAGUGCCGUAGCGAAGGUGUUAAGUGGGCCGCUUGGGGAGUAUGGUCGCAAGGCUGAAACUUAA